This 482-nucleotide ribosomal RNA is filed under the name Flavobacterium sp. BF.143. Its description in RNAcentral is "bacterial SSU rRNA". It matches the Rfam family "Bacterial small subunit ribosomal RNA", at positions 17 to 500 of the family's 1533-position model. Lineage: Bacteria; Pseudomonadati; Bacteroidota; Flavobacteriia; Flavobacteriales; Flavobacteriaceae. The record is from RNAcentral.
CCCUGGCUCAGGAUGAACGCUAGCGGCAGGCUUAACACAUGCAAGUCGAGGGGUAGAGUUCUUCGGAACUUGAGACCGGCGCACGGGUGCGUAACGCGUAUGCAAUCUACCUUUUACAGAGGGAUAGCCCAGAGAAAUUUGGAUUAAUACCUCAUAGUAUUACGACUCGGCAUCGAGAUGUAAUUAAAGUCACAACGGUAAAAGAUGAGCAUGCGUCCCAUUAGCUAGUUGGUAAGGUAACGGCUUACCAAGGCAACGAUGGGUAGGGGUCCUGAGAGGGAGAUCCCCCACACUGGUACUGAGACACGGACCAGACUCCUACGGGAGGCAGCAGUGAGGAAUAUUGGACAAUGGGCGCAAGCCUGAUCCAGCCAUGCCGCGUGCAGGAUGACGGUCCUAUGGAUUGUAAACUGCUUUUGUACAGGAAGAAACACUGGUUCGUGAACCAGCUUGACGGUACUGUAAGAAUAAGGAUCGGCUAA